AUCUGCAAUUUGCAGAUUUUCAAAGUUAAGUCCUGCUCUCGCGUCCCCGCUGAGUCUGUUUUGCGUCUAUUUCACGCCAACACGACUCGGACUUGUCCCCGACACUCUCCAGAGCUGUCGACAGGCCUCAACAGCUGUACACCUGGGAUACCACAUAAAAUUAAAUACAAAAUCGGAAUUUGAAUUCUAAUUUAAAUUUGAAUCUAAAAUCAAAAUUUAAAUUUAAAAUUUAAAUAUUAAAUUAAAAAGAAAAUUUUGAAUUUAUAAAUUUAAUGAGUUAAUUAUACUAUUGGUUCUCAACCUUUGCUCUGUUUUUUAAUUUGAUUUUUAAUUUUUUUUUAUUUUUUUGCAAUAUGCUGACACAGCGCCAUCGUG
Molecule: long non-coding RNA, 375 nt
Filed under: Ananas comosus (pineapple)
Lineage: Eukaryota; Viridiplantae; Streptophyta; Magnoliopsida; Poales; Bromeliaceae
Description: long non-coding RNA (ACOM_LNC016084)
Source: RNAcentral